CUCUCUAGCCGUACUGACCUUGAAUGUGCUGGAUCUCAUCCAAUCUCGGGAGCUAAGCAUGGUUGGGCCUGAUUUAGUCCUUGGAUGGGAGAUCACCUGGGAAUACUGGGUGCUGUAGGAA
This 121-nucleotide ribosomal RNA is filed under the name Jaculus jaculus (lesser Egyptian jerboa). Lineage: Eukaryota; Metazoa; Chordata; Mammalia; Rodentia; Dipodidae. The record is from RNAcentral.